CAUCAUGCCCCUUACUGACCUCGGGCUACACACGUGCUACAAUGGUUGGUACAACGAGUUGCGAGUCGGUGACGGCGAGCUAAUCUCUUAAAGCCAAUCUCAGUUCGGAUUGUAGGCUGCAGCUCGCCUACAUGAAGUCGGAAUCGCUAGUAAUCGCGGAUCAGCACGCCGCGGUGAAUACGUUCCCGGGCCUU
This 194-nucleotide ribosomal RNA is filed under the name uncultured Streptococcus sp. RNAcentral's name for it is "partial 16S ribosomal RNA". It matches the Rfam family "Bacterial small subunit ribosomal RNA", at positions 1191 to 1382 of the family's 1533-position model. Lineage: Bacteria; Bacillati; Bacillota; Bacilli; Lactobacillales; Streptococcaceae. The record is from RNAcentral.